CAUGUAGCUGUCCAGUUUUCUCAACAUCACUUACUGAAGAGGCUGUCUUUCCUCCACUCUAUAUUCUUGCCUCCUUUGUCAUAGAUCAGUUGACCAUAGGUGCUUGGGUUUAUUUCUGGGCUUUCUGUCUUGUUCCAGUAAUUUAUGUUUCUGGUUUUGUUCCAGUACCAUACUGUUUUGACUACUGCAGCUGUGUAGUAUAGGCUGAAGUCAGAGAGCCUUAUUCCUCCAGUUCCGUUUUUCUUUUUCAUAUUGCUUUGACCACUUGGGGUCUUUUGUGUUCCCACAUAAAUUUAAAAUUUUUGGUUUGUUUUAGUUAUGUGAGAAAUGCCAUUGGUAAUUUGGUAGGGAUUGAAUUGAAUCUGUAAAUUAACUUGGGUUGUAUAGUCAUUUUAACAGUAUUGAUUUUUCCAAUCCAGGAACACAGUAUGUAUUUCCAUCUGUUUGUGUGAUCUUCUGUUUCUUUCAUCAGCAUCUUAUAAUUUUCAGAGUACAGGCCUUUAGCAUUUUUAGGUAGGUUUAUUCCUAGGUAUUUAUUCUUAUUGAUACAAUAGUAAAUGAAAUUGUUUCCUUAAUUUCUUUUUCUGAUCUUUCAUUGUUAGUAUAUAGGAAUGCAAGAUAUUUCUAUGUAUUAAUUUGGUGUCUUGCAACUUUACUAAAUUUAUUAAUGAGCUCUAGCAGUUUUCAGGUAGUGUCUUUGGGAUUUUCUAGGUAUAGAAUCAUGUCAUAUGCAAACAGUAACAGUUUUGCUUCUUCUUUUCCAAUUUGGAUUCCUUUUAUUUCUUUUUCUUCUCUGAUCGCUGUGGCUUGGACUUCCAAAACAAUGUUGAAUAAAAGCAGUUAGAGUUGGCAUCCUUAUCUUGUUCCUGAUCACAGAAGAAAUGCUUUCAGCUUUUCACCAUUGAGUAUGAUAUUAGCUGUGGCUUUGUCAUAUAUGGCCUUAAUUAUGUUGAGGUACAUUUCCUCUAUGCCCACUUUCUGAGGAUUUUCUUUCAUAAAUGGAUGUUGAAUUUUAUCAGUAGUUUUUUUUUUUUCCCCACAUAUUGAAAUAAACGUGUUUUUUAUUCUCUAAUUUGUUAAUGUGUGUUGCACAGAUUGAUUUGCAAAUAUUAAAAAAAUCCUUGCAUCCCCAGGAUAAAUCCAUUUAACCAUGGCGUAUGAUCCUUCUAAUGUUUUGUUGGAUUCAGUUUGCUAGUAUUUUGUUGAGGAUUUUUGAGUCUAUGUUUAUCAGUGAUAUUGUUCGGUAAAUUAAUUUUUUGUAGUAUCUUUUUCUGGUUUUGGUAUCAGUUUGAUGAUGGCCUCAUAGAAUAAAUUCAGAAGUUUGUCAUCAUCUGCAAAAAUUGACAUCAUUUAUCCAGAUUUUUGUUACCCAUCUUUAUCAAUAAAUAUUUACUAUAUCAUCAAAUCCAGACAUACAUCAUCCUUUUAGGAAAUGUUAAAUAUUUAAUUAUAUGGUUUCCUCCUAUAAUUUCUAAGCUACAUUGUUAGACAUUAGAUUAAUUCUUAAUUUUCACUCUUGUAGAAAAUGUUUUCAAGGCUUUAGCAAUAAAAUUAUAGUUUGAAAAAAUUAUUCUCUGCUUAUCUUUAUUUUUUUCCGUAGCUCUUGGAUGACUAAUCUUAAAAAUGGUCAGACUCAAAGAAUAGCAUAUACUUCUUCUCACUGCCUAUACCUAGACUGUAUAUACAUUUCCAGUCUUCCUUUCUUAGUUAUUUCCACAUUCUUAUCAUACACAAACUGCACUGAUCAACAUCUACUAAAAAAUUAUGUUUUGUUGCUAAGGGCUUUAGAAAAUGCUAAUUAGAAUUAGUUAAGUCAGUACACUAAGUGAGAUUCUAAAAAAAUCUGCAUGGAAAGAUAAUUAAUGAUACAGUAUGUUUAAAUGUAAAUCACUAUAGGUAAAGACUACACAUCUUCCAGUUAAACAUAGUAUACUUUUUGCAUGUAGCAGUUAUUCAUUAAAUGCUAUUGAAUUAGAUAAUAAAUUAAAACAUAAAUUCCCAUACAUAUACUUGAAAUAAGCAAUAUUAAGCAUUACUAGUUUUACACAAAAAGAAAAACCAUAAUUUUUUUAAAUGCCUCAGAUGUCAAACCAAGUAACUCAGAUUCAUGAUGAAAAAAUGGAGAGCAACUAAUAUAUUUUGAGCAGAUGAAAGCAGCCAGAACAUUCAGUCUAAAUCCACCAAAUGAUUGCCUAGACACAUUGUUUAUUAUAACUGUGAAUUGUCUGACCAUACUGGAUCCAUUCAAAAUUUUAAAAUCAAGCAGCAGAAAAAGCCAUAUGGAAAGGCAUGAAGCAGGAACAAUCAACAAGAAAGAUACAGGGAAGAUGUCAGAGUCAAGAUGGUCGUCAAAGAGCCUGGUAGUCCUUUCACGUGGUAAACAAGGAAAGAUCCCAAAGCAUAAGUUAGGCUCUUCCUCUCUCUGAAUCCCAGGGCAUUUAUCAGAGGAUGUACUUGCUCAGCAGUGGUUGGUCCUAAGUAUAAUUUGGUAACUCAGUGAUAUUAAGGCCCAGGAUAAACAUUUCUGCAUUUCCCUUGACCAUUUCUUCAAUUUCUGAGAAUGGUAGUAACCACAAUAACAAAACCAUUGCCACAUGCCAGUUAUCCAUAUGAUAAGAAAGAAAAUUAUAUUCUUCUGAUAAAAAUUUCUCCUUACCAAGGAAGAAAAUUACUCCUUUCUUUCAUAUAAGAAUCCUUCUUUUUAUACCUUCUUGAUAGGAACUGGUCCAGUACCCAUCCCCAGACCAAGCAAUGGCAAGGAGGUAUUAGAACACCACAUUUGGCCUAGUUCCAAACAUGAUGACAGCAUUCUACAUAAGGACUUCUAAAAAUGUCCAGCUGGCCUUAGACAACUGUCUUGUAACUUUACCACUGCACAAUUUCUAUGUGAGAAAUUGCAUAGGAGGAAAAAAACUGAUCUAGAAGAAACAUGUGAGAUAACUGCUUACUAUAUUAAAUUUGAGAAGAUGGCCAUGGAUUAAGCAAGGUAAUAGCAUAGAAAGGAAUUUGAGUUUUUUCUUUAACUCAUUCUACAUCAUUCAUAACUGACAGUCCUGUAAUCUCUGCUUAAAUGCUUCCAGAGAUGAAAAUCUCUUAUUUUCCAUACCACUUAUUUGAUUUUUGACUGAACUAAUUGUUUUAAGGGGUUAUUAUUAUUAUUGUUAUUUCUUCAUAAGAGGUAAUAGAAUUUCAAUACAGAUCUCUUAACUCAUUUUGAUGUGAUGUAUUUCCUAAAAUUUAUAUUCUUGAUGCUUUCUUUUCUUUGACAUUGUCUAGUGAAUUAAUGCCUAUCUUAAAAAACAUGAUUCCUUGGAGUUCCGUUGUGGCUCAGCAGGUUAAGAACCCUACAUGGUGUCCGUGAGGAUGCAGACACAAUCCCUUGUCUGGCUCAGUGGGUUAAGGAUCCAGUGUUGCUGCAAGCUGUGGCACAUGUGCUGAUGCAGCUUGGAUCCAGCAUUGCUGAGACUGUGGCAUAGGCUGGCAGCUGUAGCUCGGAUUCGACUGCUAGCCUGGAAACUUCCAUAUGCUGAACGUAUGGCUAUUAAAUAAAUACAUACAUACAUACAUACAUACAUAAAUAAUAAAAUCAAAGUGAUUCCUGUAAUGCACACAAAUAAAAAGAUAUUACAUCUUUUUUUCUGAAAGUUUUAUAUACGAGCCCUCAAUUCUAAUAUAUAUUAGUUCUGCUUCUGUGAUCUCAAUAGAGGUUUUACAUUAUUAUCUUACAUUGAACUUGCAGCUAUCUAAGCAUUUAACCAUUUUUUACAUAAACUCCUUGUAAGCAGAUUUGAAGACUACUUUUUUUGUUGUUGGUUUUGUUUGUUUAUUUUUAGUAGAUAUCUGCACAGUUCAUGUAUAUUGAAAUUGUGAUCAACUAAACUCUACCUAUCUUUCAUAAUCCCCAUUCAUGCCAAUUUUCUCAUUAUUAGCAAUUGACAGUUUCUGGAAUUUAUAAGAUUCUCAAAAGUUUUUUAGAUACAAAAUCUAUCAUCAAGUAUGUUUAUAAUCUAGUUUGGAAUAAAACCUGAUAAGCAGCCAUGUUUUUAAACACUAUGGAAAUCAUUGAUUAGAUGUCGACCAGGUGGAGCCAGUGUCUUGUGCUAAAUUACUUGAGACCUCUUUUCCAAGUGAGAGAGAUUCAUUAAUCAAUAAAGAAAUGGGCACUGCUUUCCAAUAAGCUUCUAAUUCACAAUCUAUACUAUUAAUCACCUGAUAUUUCCCCAUUUUUCUAUAAUUAAAUGCAAUAUCAUAAGAUGUUCUAUAGUUUGGCUAGCUGAAAUGAAAAUACACGUUUUAGACCAUUCCUUAUAUGUACAAGAUUAGUAAAGUUACUAUAAAUAAAAAGAAAAUGAGAUUUGGCUGGGCUUGAUAAUAAUUUCUCUGUUAGAGAUCCAAUUUAUGAAUUUUUCCAGAGAUUAGUGUUAGAUAAACGUAGCAAUGUAUAGAAUUUUCACUUUAAUAUUAAGAGAUCAAGAGAGAAGGAAGAAAGAAAGAAUUCUAUCUUGGUUCUGCUAUAGUUCCAAGCAUUACCAUUCUCAGAAAUUAUUGGUAAUGGCUUCAAAAUAAUAUCUGUAGAUUAUU
RNAcentral lists this long non-coding RNA (4581 nucleotides) under Sus scrofa (pig). Its description in RNAcentral is "lncRNA (ENSSSCG00000062985.1)". Lineage: Eukaryota; Metazoa; Chordata; Mammalia; Artiodactyla; Suidae. The record is from RNAcentral.